This 253-nucleotide ribosomal RNA is filed under the name uncultured bacterium. RNAcentral describes it as "partial 16S ribosomal RNA". It matches the Rfam family "Bacterial small subunit ribosomal RNA", at positions 524 to 776 of the family's 1533-position model. The record is from RNAcentral.
UACGUAGGGUGCGAGCGUUAAUCGGAAUUACUGGGCGUAAAGCGUGCGCAGGCGGUUCGUUAUGUCUGAUGUGAAAGCCCCGGGCUCAACCUGGGAAUGGCAUUGGAAACUGGCGAGCUUAAGUGUGGCAGAGGGGGGUGGAAUUCCGCGUGUAGCAGUGAAAUGCGUAGAGAUGCGGAGGAACACCGAUGGCGAAGGCAGCCCCCUGGGCUAACACUGACGCUCAGGCACGAAAGCGUGGGGAGCAAACAGG